AGGGAAUCUUCCGCAAUGGACGAAAGUCUGACGGAGCAACGCCGCGUGAGCGAAGAAGGUCUUCGGAUCGUAAAGCUCUGUUGUCAGGGAAGAACAAGUACCGUUCGAACAGGGCGGUACCUUGACGGUACCUGACGAGGAAGCCACGGCUAACUACGUGCCAGCAGCCGCGGUAAUACGUAGGUGGCAAGCGUUGUCCGGAAUUAUUGGGCGUAAAGCGCGCGCAGGCGGUUCCUUAAGUCUGAUGUGAAAUCUCGCGGCUCAACCGCGAGCGGCCAUUGGAAACUGGGGAACUUGAGUGCAGGAGAGGGGAGCGGAAUUCCACGUGUAGCGGUGAAAUGCGUAGAGAUGUGGAGGAACACCAGUGGCGAAGGCGGCUCUCUGGCCUGUAACUGACGCUGAGGCGCGAAAGCGUGGGGAGCGAAC
This 426-nucleotide ribosomal RNA is filed under the name uncultured bacterium. RNAcentral's name for it is "bacterial SSU rRNA". It matches the Rfam family "Bacterial small subunit ribosomal RNA", at positions 356 to 773 of the family's 1533-position model. The record is from RNAcentral.